RNAcentral lists this ribosomal RNA (133 nucleotides) under uncultured bacterium. RNAcentral's name for it is "partial 16S ribosomal RNA". It matches the Rfam family "Bacterial small subunit ribosomal RNA", at positions 356 to 486 of the family's 1533-position model. The record is from RNAcentral.
AAGGAAUAUUGGUCAAUGGGCGCAAGCCUGAACCAGCCAUGCCGCGUGCAGGAAGACGGCCUUAUGGGUUGUAAACUGCUUUUAUAUAGGAAUAAACCCUUUCUCGUGAGAAAGGCUGAAGGUACUAUACGAA